This 468-nucleotide ribosomal RNA is filed under the name uncultured bacterium. Its description in RNAcentral is "partial 16S ribosomal RNA". It matches the Rfam family "Bacterial small subunit ribosomal RNA", at positions 28 to 507 of the family's 1533-position model. The record is from RNAcentral.
GACGAACGCUGGCGACGUGCUUAACACAUGCAAGUCGAACGGAAAGGCCCUGCUUUUGUGGGGUGCUCGAGUGGCGAACGGGUGAGUAACACGUGAGUAACCUGCCCUUGACUUUGGGAUAACUUCAGGAAACUGGGGCUAAUACCGGAUAGGAGCUCCUGCUGCAUGGUGGGGGUUGGAAAGUUUCGGCGGUUGGGGAUGGACUCGCGGCUUAUCAGCUUGUUGGUGGGGUAGUGGCUUACCAAGGCUUUGACGGGUAGCCGGCCUGAGAGGGUGACCGGCCACAUUGGGACUGAGAUACGGCCCAGACUCCUACGGGAGGCAGAAGUGGGGAAUAUUGCACGAUGGGCGGAAGCCUGAUGCAGCAACGCCGAGUGCGGGAUGACGGCCUUCGGGUUGUAAACCGCUUUCGCCUGUGACGAAGCGUGAGUGACGGUAAUGGGUAAAGAAGCACCGGCUAACUACGUG